RNAcentral lists this long non-coding RNA (368 nucleotides) under Felis catus (domestic cat). RNAcentral describes it as "lncRNA (ENSFCAG00000044505.2)". Lineage: Eukaryota; Metazoa; Chordata; Mammalia; Carnivora; Felidae. The record is from RNAcentral.
GUGAUUUUGAGUGAGUCCAGUAACUUUUAUGGAUCCUUUCAUCUCACUAAUAAAAACAAAGGAUUUAUAUGCUUGAAUACCUGUAAAAUAGGUAGAUAUCGUAGUAUCCAAGUCUUAGUUGUGUUAUUCUCCUCUGAAGUACUUCAUUUCUUACUUCCGUUAUACAUAUUCAUUAUUUUGACACCAUGAGUCCUUGUUCAAAAGUGACUCUCACCUCGUGGAAACACACUCUAUUACCUAUACAAGGUAGACCAGCCAAAUCUAAAAGAGGAGGACUGACAUCAGCAGUAAAUAUAGUGACAAAUCAAUCUUCAAGGAUGGAAUCUGUGAAUAUUGAAAGCAAAAUCAUUCUGUCUAUCAGAAUCUGA